RNAcentral lists this ribosomal RNA (425 nucleotides) under uncultured bacterium. RNAcentral describes it as "bacterial SSU rRNA". It matches the Rfam family "Bacterial small subunit ribosomal RNA", at positions 355 to 772 of the family's 1533-position model. The record is from RNAcentral.
UGGGGAAUAUUGGACAAUGGGCGCAAGCCUGAUCCAGCAAUGCCGCGUGUGUGAAGAAGGCCUUCGGGUUGUAAAGCACUUUUAUCAGGAACGAAAAGUCUUCGGUUAAUACCCGGGGAUGCUGACGGUACCUGAGGAAUAAGCACCGGCUAACUUCGUGCCAGCAGCCGCGGUAAUACAGAGGUCCCAAGCGUUGUUCGGAUUCACUGGUGGUAAAGGGUGCGUAGGUGGUGAGGUAAGUCGGAUGUGAAAGCUCCGAGCUCAACUCGGAAAUGGCAUUGGAAACUACCUUGCUCGAGGGUUUGAGGGGGGACUGGAAUACUUGGUGUAGCAGUGAAAUGCGUAGAUAUCAAGUGGAACACCAGUGGCGAAGGCGAGUCCCUGGAAAACUCCUGACACUGAGGCACGAAAGCUAGGGGAGCAAA